UACGUAGGGUGCAAGCGUUAAUCGGAAUUACUGGGCGUAAAGCGUGCGCAGGCGGUCGUGCAAGACAGAUGUGAAAUCCCCGGGCUCAACUUGGGAACUGCAUUUGUGACUGCACGGCUGGAGUGCGGCAGAGGGGGAUGGAAUUCCGCGUGUAGCAGUGAAAUGCGUAGAUAUGCGGAGGAACACGGAUGGCGAAGGCAAUCCCCUGGGCCUGCACUGACGCUCAUGCACGAAAGCGUGGGGAGCAAACAGG
Molecule: ribosomal RNA, 253 nt
Filed under: uncultured bacterium
Lineage: Bacteria
Description: partial 16S ribosomal RNA
Rfam family: Bacterial small subunit ribosomal RNA
Source: RNAcentral